AGUGAACGCUGGCGGCAGGGCCUAAUACAUGCAAGUCGAACGGCAGCACAGCAGAGCUUGCUCUGUGGGUGGCGAGUGGCGGACGGGUGAGGAAUACAUGGGAAUCUGCCCAGUCGUGGGGGAUAACGUAGGGAAACUUACGCUAAUACCGCAUGCGCCCUUCGGGGGAAGCCGGGGACCUUCGGGCCUGGCGCGAUUGGAUGAGCCCAUGUCGGAUUAGCUAGUUGGCGGGGUAAAGGCCCACCAAGGCGACGAUCCGUAGCGGGUCUGAGAGGAUGAUCCGCCACACUGGGACUGAGACACGGCCCAGACUCCUACGGGAGGCAGCAGUGGGGAAUUUUGGACAAUGGGCGCAAGCCUGAUCCAGCCAUGCCGCGUGAGUGAAGAAGGCCUUCGGGUUGUAAAGCUCUGUCUGGAGGGACGAAGGAGUGACGGUACCUCCGGAGGAGCCACGGCUAACUACCGUGCCGCAGCCGCGGUAAGUAUC
RNAcentral lists this ribosomal RNA (487 nucleotides) under uncultured bacterium. RNAcentral describes it as "bacterial SSU rRNA". It matches the Rfam family "Bacterial small subunit ribosomal RNA", at positions 30 to 526 of the family's 1533-position model. The record is from RNAcentral.